This 491-nucleotide ribosomal RNA is filed under the name uncultured bacterium. RNAcentral's name for it is "partial 16S ribosomal RNA". It matches the Rfam family "Bacterial small subunit ribosomal RNA", at positions 29 to 507 of the family's 1533-position model. The record is from RNAcentral.
GUGCACGCUGGCGGUAGGCCUAACCCCUGCCAGUCGAACGGCAGCACCGUAAGAGCUUGCUCUUACGGGUGGCGAGUGGCGGACGGGUGAGGAAUACAUCGGAAUCUACUUUUUCGUGGGGGAUAACGUAGGGAAACUUACGCUAAUACCGCAUACGACCUACGGGUGAAAGCAGGGGAUCUUCGGACCUUGCGCGAUUGAAUGAGCCGAUGUCGGAUUAGCUAGUUGGCGGGGUAAAGGCCCACCAAGGCGACGAUCCGUAGCUGGUCUGAGAGGAUGAUCAGCCACACUGGAACUGAGACACGGUCCAGACUCCUACGGGAGGCAGCAGUGGGGAAUAUUGGACAAUGGGCGCAAGCCUGAUCCAGCCAUACCGCGUGGGUGAAGAAGGCCUUCGGGUUGUAAAGCCCUUUUGUUGGGAAAGAAAAGCAGCAGGUUAAUACCCCGCUGUUCUGACGGUACCCAAAGAAUAAGCACCGGCUAACUUCGUG